This 1378-nucleotide unclassified non-coding RNA is filed under the name Leishmania donovani. RNAcentral's name for it is "gene:LdHU3.25.2910(CDS-product:Microsomal_signal_ peptidase_12_kDa_subunit_(SPC12)_putative)". Lineage: Eukaryota; Euglenozoa; Kinetoplastea; Trypanosomatida; Trypanosomatidae. The record is from RNAcentral.
UCUGGAUUCCAUUGUUUUCUCUCUUCGUGGCGACAGCAGUCGCAGCGCCCGCUAUCCGCCCACUAUUUCCCGCUGUUGUCUCUGUUGUGUUCAUCUCACUUCUGCCACCGGCGUUGAGCGCCGUGCUUUCUGUGUGCUGUUCAUGGAGGCCGCCGCCACACCCGAAGCGCAUCCCGUUGCGCCGGCACUGCGCAAGGUGCACCCCGCCGCACGCUGGGUAGCUGGUCUCUUCUCACCCAUGUCGCUUCGGGAUCAGGGGUAUUGCGCAGACAUGUUCCAGUGCAUUUUGUGGGGGUCACUGGCCGUCUCCUUUCCGAUCGCGUACUGGAUGGGCUGCGUGCUCGUCACUGUCAUCGGUGUGUGCGCGGCGACGGUGGUGUGUCUCGUGCUCUUUGUCCCGAACUGGUAUCAGCACCCAGACCCGGCUCUCAAGUACGCGGAUGACACGGAGGUGUACGACUACUACCAGCAGUACGAGGCGGCGAAGAAGGCGGCACGUGAGGCGUCAGCGCCGUCCAAGAAGACGGCAGACGCUUCUCCAGCCUUGCCAAAAGCCAAGCCGCGGGCUGCGACCGCAUGAAGAACAGGCGGUGGGACAGUGGCGACCGAAGUGGGCCUGUGCGCAUGUGUGCUGACCGAGACACGAAGAAGCCUCGCCGAGUGGCGCGCGAGGAGACGAAGCAGGUCAGCUGGUUCGAACGGGGGCAAGCAGUCGAGGCAUGCGGCUCUCUGCGAAGGUGCUGUGCUGUGUGCUCUGCGAUGAUUGUUGUGAUGCGAGUGGCGUAUCGUCGGCGUGGCAUGUCACCAUUGGGUGUGCGCUAUACCGUCCUCCUUCCCUCGCUCGUACGUACGGACGCUGCGACCCGCCGCCCAUCCUCGUCCCUGUCGGCUCGUUCUAGUGCGCACCUUCUCUCUUCUGGCGUGUGCGGAAACGUAUGCUGUUGCAACUGUGGCGUGUCUUUUUGUCCCCUUCUCCAUCGCCGACUGCCGUUCACUUCUGCUGGCGGGACCGAGUUGAUAAAAGAGGUGAGAGGAGCAGCAGAACCGACAGAGUGCGGCUGCCUCCACGAUCACAGGUUGAGAGCGGGCGGUGCGUAAGUUGAUGACAGAGGCCAGUGGGGCUGCACACGCGUCAGUCGCAUCGCGACUCGCUCUGUCUUCAAGGGUCUGCUUGUGAGUACGUGUUUUCAUGACCCUGAUGGACGUGACAUUCUUCGCAUGCGCUCUCGCACAUACGCUGCCCUCGCUCCCCCGCGCCGCGUGGGCGCCUCCUCAAAGCCUCACCGACCCCACCACUCCUCGUCUUCUUCGUGCCUUUGCCGCUUCCUUUCUCUCUCCCUUCGGCUCUUCACACGCUUACCCACCUCGCUAUUGUCAG